UGGGGAAUAUUGCACAAUGGGCGCAAGCCUGAUGCAGCCAUGCCGCGUGUGUGAAGAAGGCCUUCGGGUUGUAAAGCACUUUCAGCGAGGAGGAAGGCAGUCGUGUUAAUAGCACGAUUGAUUGACGUUACUCGCAGAAGGAGCACCGGCUAACUCCGUGCCAGCAGCCGCGGUAAUACGGAGGGGGCAAGCGUUAAUCGGAAUUACUGGGCGUAAAGCGCACGCAGGCGGUUUGUUAAGUCAGAUGUGAAAUCCCCGCGCUUAACGUGGGAACUGCAUUUGAAACUGGCAAGCUAGAGUCUUGUAGAGGGGGGUAGAAUUCCAGGUGUAGCGGUGAAAUGCGUAGAGAUCUGGAGGAAUACCGGUGGCGAAGGCGGCCCCCUGGACAAAGACUGACGCUCAGGUGCGAAAGCGUGGGGAGCAAACA
This 427-nucleotide ribosomal RNA is filed under the name uncultured bacterium. RNAcentral describes it as "partial 16S ribosomal RNA". It matches the Rfam family "Bacterial small subunit ribosomal RNA", at positions 355 to 774 of the family's 1533-position model. The record is from RNAcentral.